This 352-nucleotide unclassified non-coding RNA is filed under the name soil metagenome. Its description in RNAcentral is "partial contains 5.8S ribosomal RNA, internal transcribed spacer 2, and large subunit ribosomal RNA". The stretch from base 1 to 120 matches the Rfam family "5.8S ribosomal RNA", at positions 35 to 154 of the family's 154-position model. The record is from RNAcentral.
GAUGAAUAACGUAGCGAAAUGCGAUAAGUAAUGUGAAUUGCAGAAUUCAGUGAAUCAUCGAAUCUUUGAACGCACAUUGCGCCCGCCAGUAUUCUGGCGGGCAUGCCUGUUCGAGCGUCAUUACAACCCUCAGGCCCCCGGGCCUGGCGUUGGGGAUCGGCGGAGCCCCCCGUGGGCACACGCCGUCCCCCAAAUGCAGUGGCGGUCCCGCCGCAGCUUCCAUCGCGUAGUAGCUAACACCUCGCGACUGGAGAGCGGCGCGGCCACGCCGUAAAACACCCAACUCUUCUGAAGUUGACCUCGAAUCAGGUAGGAAUACCCGCUGAACUUAAGCAUAUCAAUAAGCGGAGGA